RNAcentral lists this ribosomal RNA (429 nucleotides) under Chloroflexota bacterium. Its description in RNAcentral is "Chloroflexi bacterium partial 16S ribosomal RNA". It matches the Rfam family "Bacterial small subunit ribosomal RNA", at positions 355 to 776 of the family's 1533-position model. Lineage: Bacteria; Bacillati; Chloroflexota. The record is from RNAcentral.
UGGGGAAUAUUGCACAAUGGGCGCAAGCCUGAUGCAGCCAUGCCGCGUGUAUGAAGAAGGCCUUCGGGUUGUAAAGUACUUUCAGCGGGGAGGAAGGGAGUAAAGUUAAUACCUUUGCUCAUUGACGUUACCCGCAGAAGAAGCACCGGCUAACUCCGUGCCAGCAGCCGCGGUAAUACGGAGGGUGCAAGCGUUAAUCGGAAUUACUGGGCGUAAAGCGCACGCAGGCGGUUUGUUAAGUCAGAUGUGAAAUCCCCGGGCUCAACCUGGGAACUGCUUCUGAUACUGGCAAGCUUGAGUCUCGUAGAGGAGGGUAGAAUUCCAGGUGUAGCGGUGAAAUGCGUAGAGAUCUGGAGGAAUACCGAUGGCGAAGGCGGCCCCCUGGACGAUGACUGACGCUUAGGUGCGAAAGCGUGGGGAGCAAACAGG